RNAcentral lists this ribosomal RNA (450 nucleotides) under uncultured bacterium. Its description in RNAcentral is "partial 16S ribosomal RNA". It matches the Rfam family "Bacterial small subunit ribosomal RNA", at positions 354 to 796 of the family's 1533-position model. The record is from RNAcentral.
GUGGGGAAUUUUGGACAAUGGGCGCAAGCCUGAUCCAGCAAUGCCGCGUGCAGGAAGAAGGCCUUCGGGUUGUAAACUGCUUUUGUACGGAACGAAACGGUCCGGGUUAAUACCCUGGGCUAAUGACGGUACCGUAAGAAUAAGCACCGGCUAACUACGUGCCAGCAGCCGCGGUAAUACGUAGGGUGCAAGCGUUAAUCGGAAUUACUGGGCGUAAAGCGUGCGCAGGCGGGUUUGUAAGACAGGCGUGAAAUCCCCGGGUUCAACCUGGGAAUUGCGCUUGUGACUGCAAGGCUGGAUUGCGGCAGAGGGGGAUGGAAUUCCGCGUGUAGCAGUGAAAUGCGUAGAUAUGCGGAGGAACACCGAUGGCGAAGGCAAUCCCCUGGGCCUGCACUGACGCUCAUGCACGAAAGCGUGGGGAGCAAACAGGAUUAGAAACCCGGGUAGUCC